This 289-nucleotide small nuclear RNA is filed under the name Microtus ochrogaster (prairie vole). Its description in RNAcentral is "7SK RNA (ENSMOCG00000010347.1)". It matches the Rfam family "7SK RNA". From Rfam's summary of the family: 7SK was discovered as an abundant small nuclear RNA in the mid-70s but a possible function has only recently been suggested. The record is from RNAcentral. Lineage: Eukaryota; Metazoa; Chordata; Mammalia; Rodentia; Cricetidae.
UGGUGUAAGCAUGAUCUGGCCUCAACAUCUCUCACUCUACUCAUGGCUGCUAGACUAGUUAGGUGAGUAUCUUCUCCCUCCCUCGCUAUUCCUUAUACAUCUUUUAAACUCUAUAUUCUUGGUCAAAAUGGGCAACCUUCCUUGGUAGAGGAGUACUGACUUUUCUCAAGAGAGUAUGAGUAUUUGUGCCCCUCUCUGAGAACCUCCAAAUAGUUUCUUAAAAAGUGCCUAUUGAGCCACAGAUCAGUACUUGUACAUGUUCAAAAGAAAUAUAACCCAGUCAUUGGUU